GAGAUAGCUCAGUUGGUUAGAGCGUGGUGCUGAAAUGCCAAGGUUGCAGGUUUAAUCCCCAUAUGAGACA
RNAcentral lists this transfer RNA (70 nucleotides) under Podarcis lilfordi (Lilford's wall lizard). RNAcentral describes it as "tRNA.Undet". Lineage: Eukaryota; Metazoa; Chordata; Lepidosauria; Squamata; Lacertidae. The record is from RNAcentral.